This 73-nucleotide transfer RNA is filed under the name Ovis aries (sheep). It matches the Rfam family "tRNA". From Rfam's summary of the family: Transfer RNA (tRNA) molecules are approximately 80 nucleotides in length. Their secondary structure includes four short double-helical elements and three loops (D, anti-codon, and T loops). The record is from Rfam by way of RNAcentral. Lineage: Eukaryota; Metazoa; Chordata; Mammalia; Artiodactyla; Bovidae.
UCCCUGGUAAUCCAGUGGUGAAGACUCUGUGCUCCCAAUGCAGGGGGCUCGGGUUUGAUCCCUGGUCAGGGAA